UACGGAGGGUGCAAGCGUUAUCCGGAUUCACUGGGUUUAAAGGGUGCGUAGGUGGGUCUGUAAGUCAGUGGUGAAAUCUCCAAGCUUAACUUGGAACUGCCGUUGAUACUAUAGACCUUGAAUGCUGUGGAGGUGAGCGGAAUAUGUCAUGUAGCGGUGAAAUGCUUAGAUAUGACAUAGAACACCAAUUGCGAAGCAGCUCACUACCCAGAUAUUGACACUGGAGGCACGAAAGCGUGGGGAUCAAACAGG
This 252-nucleotide ribosomal RNA is filed under the name uncultured bacterium. Its description in RNAcentral is "partial 16S ribosomal RNA". It matches the Rfam family "Bacterial small subunit ribosomal RNA", at positions 524 to 776 of the family's 1533-position model. The record is from RNAcentral.